GCAUGAAAAGGAGAGAGGUACACGGAGAUGUAUAUUCUCAGUUCCACAGCCUGUGGCAGAGAGCUUGGUUGUGCCAGAAUAACACAGGACAGUCCUGGUCCAAAGUCUGAGCCCAGAGCGUGGGCCGGACAGCAUGUCGGAUUCUGAAGCCAAAGUAAACUCCAAAAAAGCUGGCAUUCGGGCUGCUGUCAUUCUGAUAGGACUACUGCACAAGUCCAGACGGCAGAAGGAGAGAGAGAGGGAGAAAAGAAAUGAACGGAAACAAGAGUUGCUAACCAUUUCCAGUGUGCCUCUGGGAGAAUGUCCACCCUCACCCCCCCAAACUGCACCACCAACCAUGAAGUCGGCAGAGUUCUUCGACAUGCUGGAAAGGAUGCAGAUUCCCAAAACUGAGGAGACUAAGAAAUACAAGGAUGACUACAUCCCAUACCCCCGGAUAGAGGAUGUCCUGGAGAAGGGAGGUCCCUACCCUCAGGUCAUUUUACCUCAGUUUGGCGGUUACUGGAUCGAGGAUCCCGAAGCCCCAGUCGGGACACCCACUUCCUCAGAGAGCAGCUUUUGUGAGGAGGAGGAUGACGGUCUGAGUCCUGGUGGAGGAGGAGGCUUUGGAUAUCGGCUGGAAUGUAACAGCGCUUCACGGGCUUACCGCAAACACUUUCUGGGCAAGGAGCACAUGAACUAUUACUGCACUGCCAGUAGUAUGGGCCAUCUCAUCAUGUCUUUGAAGUAUGAGGACGGAGAUGGACUGGAGUCACUCCGUAUCAUGCUCAGGUCAAAAACAAAGACCCUUCAUGAACGAAUUCCACUCGAAGGCCUGUCACAGUUACCAAGUGUACCACAGAUAGCCAAGCUGCUCUGCGAUGACGUCACAGGUCUAAAGUUCAACCCUGUUCUCUACCCUAGGGCCUCGCAACUGAUCGUUGGAUUUGAUGAGCACGAAGUGAACAACACUUUCAAGUUUGGCAUGAUCUAUCAGAAGUUUGGUCAGACAUCAGAAGAAGAGCUAUUUGGGAACAAUGAGGAGACGCCAGCGUUCGCUGAAUUCCUCAGUGUUUUAGGAGACAAUAUUGAACUGCAGGAUUUUAAAGGGUUCAGAGGCGGAUUGGAUGUUUCUCAUGGGCAGACUGGAUCUGAGUCUGUCUAUACUAUGUUCCGUCAGAGAGAAAUAAUGUUCCAUGUUUCCACAAAACUCCCCUUUACAGAAGGAGACAUUCAGCAGCUCCAAAGGAAAAGACAUAUUGGCAAUGACAUCGUCGCUGCCGUCUUUCAGGAGGAGCCCACGCCAUUCGUACCUGAUAUAAUCGCAUCCAACUUCCUUCAUGCCUACAUAUUAGUGCAGGCAGAAAACCCUUGCACUGACCAUACCACAUACAAGGUGUCUGUCACAGCUCGAGAGGAUGUACCUCCAUUUGGCCCCCCUCUGCCAAACCCUCCAGUCUUUAAGAAGGGACCUGAGUUCCGGGAAUUUCUGCUGGCAAAAUUGAUUAAUGCAGAAAAUGCUUGUUACAAAUCAGACAAAUUCGCCAAGCUAGAGGAGAGGACACGGGCGGCAUUGUUAGAUAACCUUCAUGAUGAACUGCACAGACAGACACAGGCCACGAUAGGACUGGGCUCAGCUACAGAAGAAGAAAAACUAGAAAAUGGAGGUCAUGGAGGUCUUCUGGAAUCAUUUAAGAGGGCUAUGCGUGUGAGGAGUCACUCUAUGGAGACAAUGGUGUCUCAUAAACACAAGAGUCCAGGAGCCACAGCAGGGGUCCCAUCCAGCUUCAGUGGUGGAGGACUUCAGCAGAAUAGUAUGGAGUGUACCAAGAGCACCUUCACUCCUCCAGUGCUGUCUGCAAAGUCUCCUUUAAAGAGUCCAGUAAAGAAGAGAUCUGGUCUGUUACCCAGACUGCACUCCAGCUCAGAGAGUCCAACUGAGAAACACCCAACUCGCGGUGACCAAAAAUCAGAAGUGUUCCCUCACUCACAGGAAAUGAGAUCAGAGACAUCAUCCAAUCCGAGUUCACCAGAGAUCUGCCCUAACAAAGAAAGGCCAUAUAUGAAGCUGAAAGAGUGCAGCGGAAGAGCCAAUAUCUCCCGAUCCUCCUCCAGCACCAGCAGCUUCAGCAGCACAGCGGGAGAUGGAGACGGCCUGGAGGAACUAGACACGUCACCCAUCCACAGCCUCAUCUGUGUACAGUCCAUCUCUCAGUGUGGAAAGCCAGAACUCCGGAACGCCACUGAUCAUGUGCCGUAGUCCCACAGAUGGAAAGAGCAAAACUUCACCAAGGUCAAACUUGAAAUUCCGCUUUGACAAACUGAGCCACUCCACAGUCUGAAUGAUGAUGUUCUACUGAAAACAGCAUUAUAGGUCAUUAGGUCACACAAAAGGCUGCAAGGUCAAAAGGCAGUGACUUUGAACAGAUUUUUAUAGAUUCAUAUGCAAAAGGGACCCUUUUCUUUAGAUGAUGCAACAGUUAUUACUGUUACAAGUAUAAUACACAACUGAACACUAUAAAAACUGAUCAUAGAACUACCGUCCUACAAACCCACACACAAUGACAAGGGUUUAGGGGACAGAACACAAGUCUUACUAGAAAUAGCAACAAAUGUCUCUGUUUCAGCUAUUUAAAUGUAGUACUGCUCAUACAAGUGUUCAAACUAUCCAUUGCUUUCUAGACAGAUGCUAAAUAUUAACACAGCCACUUGAAAUACUUGAACAGCACACAGUCAUUACAUGUUACAAGAGAUAAGGACUACAAAACUGCAUUAUAAGCACCCAAAACUGUACAGUCACUAUUUAGUCUUAAUUACGGGUCAUUUUGAGUCUUGUAACACAUUGCCCAUCAGUGUAAGCCUUAAAACAUUACGCUCUUCUGACACAGACAUGGAUUUGUUUGUUUUUUUAUUUGUGAGUAAUGUGAGAAGAGGUGCAAUUCACUUUUCCCAAAGGUAACCAAAGAGGAAGAUUACCAGAGUGGUAUAAAGGGAAAUGUUUUAACAAGAAAAAGACACGCUUUAUUAUAUAUUUUAAAGCAAAAUAGGUCUAUUUAAUACAUUUCAACGUACGUUUAGACUGCCGUAGAAAUAAAGGCUUUACAGUAUAUUUGAUCAACACUGAGUUGUGGAUGUUCCAAAAUUAAUUUCAAAUUCAUAGAUCCACAGCUGGUAGAAGGAAAUUUUGUGCCUGAUCUCAUGAAAAUUAUGUGACUGUAGUGACAUUUUUGCAAAAUUAUAUUACGUGGGUACUCCAUGUACUUCAUAUCAUGACAGUUCCAAAGGUGAAAUGUCCACUGUGUGGCAUUAAAAGUGAGUAAAAUUUUCUCUCAAACAGAUGAGGGUCUCUAUGUUCGUGAGUGGUCAAAGCCCUGUGCGUCUUAUACAAUUUUCGUGAGAGCAUUAAUUCUAAGUGCAAUUUUCGUGCCAGUGCAAAGUGCAAGUGGGCAUGGGUGGGAGUGUUUGCACUAUCUGUGGGUGUAUGCGCGCAAACUUUGGGCGUAUUGGAUGACAUUGAAGUGGCGCAAAGCACAAUUUUCUCUUUUCCUGAGAAAUAGGCCAUUGCGCUAAGACGUGUCAAAAGCACGUUUUAUCUCAGCGCGAAGUCCAAACUAAGUUCCUACAUUUGCAGUUUGGAGAUUCCACCAGCAGGUGGUAAUAAAGUUUGUCCAAACUCUGAACAUAUAGUGGAACAUCAAAUUAUGUCCCUGACAAUCACUGUUGGAGCCGUUUUAUGAAACACAUAUUUAUGAAAUUUGUGUUAAACUCUGUAGGUCAUGGUUUAUUUUUCAAUUAUUAUUAUUAUUAUGUUUAUAUUUACAGUUGUAUUUAUGAUCUAAGUUGUAUUGGUAUUUUUCCACCUGUUGUCGCAGAGUGAUUUUUAAGUCACUGCAAAAGGGGCAGAAGAAGUUGAAGAGAGUAAAAUGUUUGGAUUUGGUAUGAUUUUUUUUUUUUUUACCACUUAAUUAUUUUGAUUAUAUUUUUGUUUCAUUUGAGUUUAAUUUUCAUUUAGAAAUAUUUUUGGUUUAAUUUGUUCGUGUUUCAUUAAAUGAAUUUAAUUUUUCAAAAUCGACUGGUAGUAGGGUGUUCUGAUACAAUCACUGUUAAUACUAGCCGUGGUUUGUGUGUCAGUAGAUGAAAAUGAUUAAUAAUACUUACAUUCUCUAUAAUUUAACUGAGCGUAAAUCCAAAUCCUGACGAGAACCAUAUUUUCCAUGCGUAUAGGAGCAUGUCACUGUCAUAGAAAUAUGCCUGACAUAUGCAGACGUGUUGGAGAAGAAACUCAGAAUUAAAUUGCACUUGACCCAGCCCAUUAGCGCUUUGCACGCAACAUUUCGCCAAAUCCACUUGCGCCUAGACUUGCAUGAAAAACCAAAACUUCAUUGCCAUGCCCAUUGACUUUGCACAUACUGUAUGACUUUUGGAAUAGCGCUUAUUGCUAGUGCUCUUAAAAUAGGUCCAGAGGUUUUUAAGGUUAAUGCUCUAUCAAAUUUUAAACUUGAAAAACACAAUUUCUGAAGCAACCAUGUCAUUUUGUGGUGCUUCUAUAACACAGCUUGUAAAUAUUGUUGGUUAUGUAAUUCAAACUUUAAAAUAUAUCACCUUAAAAGUCAUGUGCUAAAGUAAAAGUGUUCUGAUGUCAUAAGAUGGCAUUGUGUUAGGAACAGUGUGAAAAGUAUGUGUUUAUGAACUGAUAAAAUGUCCCUUUACUCGUGAUUUGUAUGAAAGGGAAUAAAUUGUCGUUUUAGCACCUCUAGUGUUUAUCUCACCAGGAAACUGCUGUGAUACGUACAACGAGCCACGUAAAAAGCAUUUUGGGAAAAUGGCGGUAUAUUAAUGUAAUUCUGAGACCAGGUCGCAUUUUUUUUUAAUUAGGUAUAAUUUAUUUGCAUUUGUGUGUAUUUUGCAUUUCCCAUUCCUCAGAAUUCAGUUUGUUGUAAACAGUGAUACUCAUUGGUGAGGGCAUUAGAACUGAGAGCGAGUUAAAUAUUCUUGUAUAAUAGUGAGAACUUUGUUUGAUAUAAAAGGUGUUGGCAUAUAUGUUUGUACUGCCAUAAUUUAUUGCUUUUGUUGAUGUUACGUUAAGUAUAAUUGCAGAGUAUGCAGAGAGUCAAAUACAUUAAGAUAAUUUAAAAGAUCAUGUAUAUGUAUAUUUGGUUAUGGCAAGUGCCAUUAAGAAUUUAUUAUAAAAUGUAUUUUGUGUCAAA
Myxocyprinus asiaticus (Chinese sucker) is the source of this 5186-nucleotide RNA transcript. It is a transcript of the gene named rap1 GTPase-activating protein 2-like, with no coding region annotated. The record is from RefSeq and is a predicted model, not a curated record. NCBI's taxonomy places the organism in Eukaryota, Metazoa, Chordata, Actinopteri, Cypriniformes, Catostomidae. The transcript is spliced from 25 exons.